GUGGGUACAGCUCAGUGGUAGAGCACAUGCUUAGCAUGCAAGAGGGCCUGGAUUCAAUCUCCAGUACCUCCA
This 72-nucleotide transfer RNA is filed under the name Camelus bactrianus (Bactrian camel). It matches the Rfam family "tRNA". Rfam says of the family: Transfer RNA (tRNA) molecules are approximately 80 nucleotides in length. The record is from Rfam by way of RNAcentral. Lineage: Eukaryota; Metazoa; Chordata; Mammalia; Artiodactyla; Camelidae. RNAcentral also lists the same sequence under 2 other names.